GUUGUGGGUAACGCGGACGUGGAAGAACCUCGUCUGCGGAGGAAAAGGUAGAUGUUAAAUGGUAACUACGCGCGAGGUUCUGAGGAGCCCUGGGAACAGGAAGGAGAAAAGAAUACCAAAAGUGACAACAGUUUGCCAAUCGCAGUCUUUAAUCUGAUAAAGCGGUUAUCUCGUCUUGAGUCCCAGGUGCCGAGUCAAUCCCCAUACACAGCCGCCGCCAUUGCCUCGAGUCCUUGUGUCUGACUGUCUGUUCCUGCUGCUGUAUGACACAGCACCUCGAGGCAAGGAAAUAAGAAAACUGCCUCUGAUCCAAGCAGAGAAGAACUCCUGUAGCCUGUAAUACCAGCUGUGGGUACUACUCUCAGUGUUGGAGAUCAUCAAAAUACAAUUGGACCAGACCCUUUGGAAAUAAUUCUGUGUCUCAAAUGCCCUGUGGAGCACACACUUAAUCAGUUGAUGGCUAUGGAAUUUUCCAACAUCAGCUAAAGAGAAGGGCCUACUUUAAGGCUGGCCAAUUCUGCAAGAAAGGCAAGGAGGAGGAGACUGGCUCACAGCUCUGGAGGACCCCCUUCU
RNAcentral lists this long non-coding RNA (573 nucleotides) under Homo sapiens (human). RNAcentral describes it as "novel transcript, ARMCX5-GPRASP2 readthrough". The record is from RNAcentral. Lineage: Eukaryota; Metazoa; Chordata; Mammalia; Primates; Hominidae.